UUUGGCCUGAAUUAAGAAGAAAGGGGAAUUUGUGAGCAUCUAUAAACACAGGCAUCCAGAAAAUUUGUGUUCUUCUCUUAACCUGUUUAUGGCAGUUGCUUAUUGUGUUUACAGCACUGCCUGCUGAUUUGGGACUGCUUCAUCCUAGUGCUUGCAGUCACUAGCACCCACUUGCAAAAGUGAGGUCUGCUGCUCUCCAUUUUAUUCUGACAGACACAGCGGUGCCACUCACCAAUGCAGAUCAGAGAACACAGAUGAAGCUGGUGCAGUGUGUAUUUAUAUGCUAUUAACUCGAGAAGAGGAAAGAAGCAGAACAGUUGGGAGCUUCAAGACCUAUUAGCUGCUGGGACAGCCACUGUCUUCCAAAAGACACCACAAUAUGCUGCUAUUUAGCGUACCCAAAUGUCCAAACUAUGAAAACAAUUUAUUAGAAACUUCAUUAAACUGACAAAUAAUCAGCUGCA
Molecule: long non-coding RNA, 464 nt
Filed under: Numida meleagris (helmeted guineafowl)
Lineage: Eukaryota; Metazoa; Chordata; Aves; Galliformes; Numididae
Description: lncRNA (ENSNMEG00000019335.1)
Source: RNAcentral